AAUGAACGCUGGCGGCGCGCCUAAUACAUGCAAGUCGAGCGAGAAGACGUAGCAAUACGUUUGUAAAGCGGCGAACGGGUGAGGAAUACAUGGGUAACCUACCCUCGAGUGGGGAAUAACUAGCCGAAAGGUUAGCUAAUACCGCGUACGCUUCUUGGACUUCGGUUCAGGGAGGAAAGCGAUGCCGAGGGUAUCGCGCUCUUGGAUGGGCUCAUGUCCUAUCAGCUUGNGGUGAGGUAACGGCUCACCAAGGCUUCGACGGGUAGCCGGUCUGAGAGGACGAUCAGCCACACUGGCACUGCGACACGGGCCAGACUCCUACGGGAGGCAGCAGUAAGGAAUAUUGCGCAAUGGGCGAAAGCCUGACGCAGCGACGCCGCGUGGGGGA
Molecule: ribosomal RNA, 388 nt
Filed under: uncultured bacterium
Lineage: Bacteria
Description: bacterial SSU rRNA
Rfam family: Bacterial small subunit ribosomal RNA
Source: RNAcentral